Molecule: ribosomal RNA, 550 nt
Filed under: bacterium BaP1-25
Lineage: Bacteria
Description: bacterial SSU rRNA
Rfam family: Bacterial small subunit ribosomal RNA
Source: RNAcentral
UGAUGUUAGCGGCGGACGGGUGAGUAACACGUGGGUAACCUGCCUGUAAGACUGGGAUAACUCCGGGAAACCGGGGCUAAUACCGGAUGGUUGUUUGAACCGCAUGGUUCAAACAUAAAAGGUGGCUUCGGCUACCACUUACAGAUGGACCCGCGGCGCAUUAGCUAGUUGGUGAGGUAACGGCUCACCAAGGCAACGAUGCGUAGCCGACCUGAGAGGGUGAUCGGCCACACUGGGACUGAGACACGGCCCAGACUCCUACGGGAGGCAGCAGUAGGGAAUCUUCCGCAAUGGACGAAAGUCUGACGGAGCAACGCCGCGUGAGUGAUGAAGGUUUUCGGAUCGUAAAGCUCUGUUGUUAGGGAAGAACAAGUACCGUUCGAAUAGGGCGGUACCUUGACGGUACCUAACCAGAAAGCCACGGCUAACUACGUGCCAGCAGCCGCGGUAAUACGUAGGUGGCAAGCGUUGUCCGGAAUUAUUGGGCGUAAAGGGCUCGCAGGCGGUUUCUUAAGUCUGAUGUGAAAGCCCCCGGCUCAACCGGGGAGGG